This 1905-nucleotide ribosomal RNA is filed under the name human gut metagenome. RNAcentral describes it as "bacterial LSU rRNA". It matches the Rfam family "Bacterial large subunit ribosomal RNA", at positions 913 to 2841 of the family's 2925-position model. The record is from RNAcentral.
AAUUUCCUAGGGGGCGUCAAAGCCUACCGAAGAAUAUCAAACUCCGAAUGCCAUACAGAUGAUGUACGGGAGUCAGACGGCACGAGAUAAGUUGGGUCGUCAAAAGGGAAAGAGCCCAGACCUGCAGCUAAGGUCCCAAAGUGUGUGUUAAGUGGAAAAGGAUGUGGGAUUUCAAAGACAACUAGGAUGUUGGCUCAGAAGCAGCCACACAUUCAAAGAGUGCGUAAUAGCUCACUAGUCGAGAGGUCCUGCGCCGAAAAUGUCCGGGGCUGAAACACAACACCGAAGCUCAGGAAUGUAUUUAUACAUUGGUAGAGGAGCAUUCUUAAAGGGGCGAAGCAGUACCGAUAAGGAGCUGUGGACUUUUAAGAAGAGAGAAUGCCGGAAUGAGUAGCGAGAUGGAGGUGGGAAUCCUCCAGGCCGAAUAUCUAAGGUUUCCAGGGUAAAGCUGAUCUGCCCUGGGUAAGUCGGGGCCUAAGGCAAGGCUGAGAAGCGUAGCUGAUGGACAACAGGUUUAGAUUCCUGUACCACAUGGUAUCAGAACUGUGGGGACGCAGAGGGAUAAGAUGACCGGGGGACAGAUUCCCGGGCAAGCGCAGGAGGUGUCAGACAGGCAAAUCCGUCUGACAAGCCAAAGGCGUGACGCGGACCGAACUCAAGUAGGGAAGCAUCCGAUUCCAGCUGCCGAGAAAAGCCGCUAUUGUGUAUCAUGUGCCCGUACCGUAAACCGACACAGGUGGAUGAGGAGAGAAUCCUAAGGCCGGCGGGAGAAGCAUUGUUAAGGAACUCGGCAAAAUGACCCCGUAACUUCGGGAUAAGGGGUGCCAGAGAGAUCUGGCCGCAGAGAAUAGGCUCAAGCAACUGUUUAGCAAAAACACAGGUCUAUGCAAAACCGAAAGGUGAGGUAUAUGGGCUGACGCCUGCCCGGUGCUGGAAGGUUAAGAGGAGAGGUUAGAGCAAUCGAAGCUUUGAAUUGAAGCCCCAGUAAACGGCGGCCGUAACUAUAACGGUCCUAAGGUAGCGAAAUUCCUUGUCGGGUAAGUUCCGACCCGCACGAAAGGCGUAAUGAUUUGAGCGCUGUCUCGACAAUGCACCCGGUGAAAUUGAAAUACCAGUGAAGAUGCUGGUUACCUGCGCCAGGACGGAAAGACCCCAUGGAGCUUUACUCCAGCUUGAUACUGGGAUUCGGUAUUGCAUGUACAGGAUAGGUGGGAGGCUAGGAGAUGGUAACGCCAGUUGCCAUGGAGCCGCUGUUGGGAUACCACCCUUGCAGUAUUGGGUUUCUAACCAGCCGCCGUGACCCGGCGGUGGGACAAUGCCAGACGGGGAGUUUGACUGGGGCGGUCGCCUCCGAAAGGGUAUCGGAGGCGCCCAAAGGUUCCCUCAGAAUGGACGGAAACCAUUCGAAGAGUGCAAAGGCAGAAGGGAGCUUGACUGCGACACCGACGGGUGGAGCAGGUACGAAAGUAGGACUUAGUGAUCCGGUGGUAUAAAGUGGGAUUGCCAUCGCUCAACGGAUAAAAGCUACCCUGGGGAUAACAGGCUUAUCACUCCCAAGAGUUCACAUCGACGGAGUGGUUUGGCACCUCGAUGUCGGCUCAUCGCAUCCUGGGGCUGAAGUAGGUCCCAAGGGUUGGGCUGUUCGCCCAUUAAAGCGGUACGCGAGCUGGGUUCAGAACGUCGUGAGACAGUUCGGUCCCUAUCCGGCGUGGGCGUAGGAUAUUUGAGAGGAGCUGUCCUUAGUACGAGAGGACCGGGAUGGACGGACCGCUGGUGUACCGGUUGAGCUGCUAAGCUCAUGGCCGGGUAGCCAAGUCUGGCAGGGAUAAACGCUGAAGGCAUCUAAGCGUGAAGCCCCCCUCAAGAUGAGAUAUCCCAUAACGUCAAGUUAGUAAGACCCCUUGA